This 497-nucleotide ribosomal RNA is filed under the name uncultured bacterium. Its description in RNAcentral is "partial 16S ribosomal RNA". It matches the Rfam family "Bacterial small subunit ribosomal RNA", at positions 28 to 507 of the family's 1533-position model. The record is from RNAcentral.
GAUGAACGCUGGCGGCGUGCCUAAUACAUGCAAGUCGAGCGAACAGACGAGGAGUUUGCUCCUCUGACGUUAGCGGCGGACGGGUGAGUAACACGUGGAUAACCUACCUAUAAGACUGGGAUAACUUCGGGAAACCGGAGCUAAUACCGGAUAAUAUAUUGAACCGCAUGGUUCAAUAGUGAAUGACGGUUUUGCUGUCACUUAUAGAUGGAUCCGCGCCGCAUUAGCUAGUUGGUAAGGUAACGGCUUACCAAGGCAACGAUGCGUAGCCGACCUGAGAGGGUGAUCGGCCACACUGGAACUGAGACACGGUCCAGGCUCCUACGGGAGGCAGCAGUAGGGAAUCUUCCGCAAUGGGCGAAAGCUUGACGGAGCAACGCCGCGUGAGUGAUGAAGGUCUUCGGAUCGUAAAACUCUGUUAUUAGGGAAGAACAAAUGUGUAAGUAAGUAUGCACGUCUUGACGGUACCUAAUCAGAAAGCCACGGCUAACUACGUG